This 75-nucleotide transfer RNA is filed under the name Nitrospirota bacterium. Its description in RNAcentral is "Nitrospirae bacterium (groundwater metagenome) tRNA-Thr". It matches the Rfam family "tRNA". Rfam says of the family: Transfer RNA (tRNA) molecules are approximately 80 nucleotides in length. Their secondary structure includes four short double-helical elements and three loops (D, anti-codon, and T loops). The record is from RNAcentral. RNAcentral also lists the same sequence under 6 other names. Lineage: Bacteria; Pseudomonadati; Nitrospirota.
GCCGGCGUAGCUCAGUGGUAGAGCAGCUGAUUCGUAAUCAGCAGGUCGUCAGUUCAAUCCUGACCGCCGGCUCCA